Molecule: long non-coding RNA, 114 nt
Filed under: Castor canadensis (American beaver)
Lineage: Eukaryota; Metazoa; Chordata; Mammalia; Rodentia; Castoridae
Description: ST7 antisense RNA 1 conserved region 1 (ENSCCNG00000000947.1)
Rfam family: ST7 antisense RNA 1 conserved region 1
Source: RNAcentral
AAUUAUCCUAGAGAAUUGCUUAUAUUAAAAAGAAGCUGAGAGUUGAAUUGGGAUAGCCAGAAAAAUUGGAGGCUUAAAUAAUUCAUUUUGUCAGGAUUUUUCGGAAAACCCUUC